Small nuclear RNA from Crotalus tigris (Tiger rattlesnake), 115 nucleotides. RefSeq annotates it as U5 spliceosomal RNA. NCBI's taxonomy places the organism in Eukaryota, Metazoa, Chordata, Lepidosauria, Squamata, Viperidae. The transcript has a single exon. The record is from RefSeq and is a predicted model, not a curated record.
AUACUCUGGUUUCUCUUCAGAUCGUAUAAAUCUUUCGCCUUUUACUAAAGAUUUCCGUGGAGAGGAACAUUUAUGAGUUUUCAUGAAUGGCAGAAAGGUAUUAAUAAAUUUAUCU